Long non-coding RNA from Leucoraja erinaceus (little skate), 2889 nucleotides. RefSeq lists it as uncharacterized. NCBI's taxonomy places the organism in Eukaryota, Metazoa, Chordata, Chondrichthyes, Rajiformes, Rajidae. The record is from RefSeq and is a predicted model, not a curated record. The transcript has 3 exons.
UGGUCGGCACAGACUCGGUGGGCCGAUGGGUCUGUUUCCCCGCUGUAUCUCUAAACUAAACUCUAAACUCAGCUAAAAAUAAAAUCCUGUGUCUAAUAAAGUUUGCAGAAGCACUGGGCCAACACACAUAAUAGUCCAGAAACAGAUUGCUCAUCCCACUCACUUGUGCCAAACCUUAAAGAAAGCUAUUCAAUUGAGAGCCCUUUCCCCUGAGCUUUCCCUGGGAAAAUAAAAUGGGAAGCAUCUUUGACCUGAAACAUCCUGAAUGGUUCCAGCAUUUUGUUUUUCCUUCCAUUAUUUUACAGCACAAACUAACGCAAAUGUGCAAGUACUUUAGUUUUGUUAUUAUUAACAUCAGGGAUGGGCAACUAGGGAACAUGUGAGGGUCAGUUGAGUGGUCAAUCCUCAGGCUUCUCAAAUUUCUCCUUUCCGCCGUUGACCAUCUGAAGGUGGUCCACCAGGUCCAAUCAUAAUGUGACGCGGCUGGUUGACUAAGGAAAGCGGCGGAGAACUUUGGGUGUCAUUCUUCAUUGCGUACGCAUUGGAGCAGAAGGCGUUGACCUCCGACCUGGUGCUUCAGUAGAACACACGCCCAGCUGUUUCCCGACUUGCACAGCUGCAUGUUGUAAAGCAGAAGUUAUAAAAGCGCUGAUGAGGUGGGUCGAAACUGUAUCUCCCACUCCCCCAUCUGACUUCCCACUUCCAAGAUGCAAGAGAGAUGCAAGGGCGACCACAGUGGUGCAGUGGUAGAGUUGCUGCCUUACAGCGCAUGCAGCGCCGGAGACCCGGGUUCGAUCCCGACUACGGGUGCUGUCUGGACGGAGUUUGCACGUUCUCCCCGUGACAGCGUGGGUUUUCUCAAAGAUCUUCAGUUUCCUUCCACACUCCAAAGACGUACAGAAGCUGCCUGACCCCCUGAACAAUUCCAGCAUUUUUUUUGCUUUGAUAUGUAAAAAGGAAGAACUGGGUUUGCUGUGGAAUGAAACACCUUCUCUGCACUCUCCUGAGUUCAAAUCGUGUAAAGCAGUAUUCGGCUGCAGUAACGUCAAAGGCUUUCAUGUUUAAUUCCAUCGGAUUCCCACCAGCUGAGCAAAGUUUGGAAAGAAAUGUGAGGAGAAAGAUCAACUGGUGCUUGGCUUUGAGUAAAUUCAAUUCCAAUUAACUUUGGCCUUAAAAAUAAAAGCAUUGCCAACUAUUUGUUUAAAGUAUUUUGACCCACAAAGUUUCAAACAUGUAGUAACACUGCAUGGUUAAAAUCGUGCAUUCCUGUGGUAAGGCAUCACUGUGAUUAUGUCUGAGUUAUUUCCAGUCCCUCUUUAGAUUCAACUAUGGGCUUCCUGGUGUGAACUGGUGUUGACAUAAUUUGGGCAUCGUAUGCGUGUCAAGUGUUGUAAUUCCCCACUCUUUGGAUAAAUUAGUGCUUACCUGGAGGAUCUCUAGCACCAGUCAUGCGAUCACUAACUCACUUUCUAAAUCUCUGGUCAUCAAUAUCCGUCCUUAAAUAAGGACGCCAAAUCUGUGUGUGGUUUUCCAGGUGUGGUCUGAUCAACACCUUGUCUGAUUGCAAAAAUACUUCCUUCCUUCUAGACCCCAUUCCCUUUCGAAUAAAGGCCAGGUCAAUUAACUCACAAACCUGCAUAGCUCCGGGAUGUGGGAGGAAUCUGUAGCACUUGAAUGAAGCCUACGUGGUUACAGAGAGAAUAUGAAAACUCCACAUGGGCAGCACCAUAGAUCAGGAUUGACUCAAGGUACAUGGUACUGUGAGGCAGUCCCUCUAUUAGUUAUGCCACUGUGCCGCUCUGUUACACUUAGUGUGCUAUGCUCCAUGUCCAAGGCCACCCAGAUUACUCUGUACAGUAGAUUUUGUAACGUUGCUUCAUUGAAAUGAUAUUCUUCCUAUCAACAUGAAUGAAUUCAUGUCUCCCUGCAGAAUACUCCAGCUGACAUGGGCCUUGACUUCUCCCCACGGAUACCCUGUUAAACAUAACUUGCGUUCCCACCUGUCUUUGUAUUGGACCAUUUGUCCACAGUACAUGAGAACAUAAGCAAAGAGAGAUAGGUUUGUCAGGUACAGAAAUUUGGCCCACCUUGUCCACGCCAAAAAGCUGGCAUUCUGUGCCAAUCACAUGUGCCUGUAUUUGGCAAUACCCCUCUAAAGUAUUUCUAUCCAUAGAUCCACCCAUCAGAUAUCCCAUGCAUAAAGCUAUGCUGACUGUCCCUAAUCAGUUCAUUAAGGGUUAAGCCUUUCAUCCCUUUGAGCUCGCUUUGCCAUUCCAUAAUUAUUCAUGUGCAUAAUUUAAUGUGCUUCCUCGGUACCUCUCUCAUAACUUCAUAUGAUAGGUGCAGAAUUAUGCCAGUUAGCCCAUCGAUUCUACUCUGCCAUUCAAUCAUGGCUGAUCUAUCUUUUCUUCUCACCCAUUCUCCUGCCUUCUACCCAUAACUGACACCUUUACUAACCAAGAGCAUGUCAAUCUUUAAGACUUGGCUUCACAGCCGUCUGUGGCAAGGAAUUCCACAAAUUCACCACGGUCUGGCUAAAAGAAAUCCUCCUCAAAUCCUUUCUAAAGGUAUAUCAUUUUAUUCUAAGGCUGUGCCUUUUGCCCCUAGACUCUCCCACUAGUGGAAACAUCUCCUCCACAUUCACUCUAUCCAAGCCUUCCAUUAUGUUAAUGAGGUCCCCUCUCCCCUCUUCCAUCCCCUCGUCCCUUCGUUUCCCUUGCAACCAAAGAGAGCCAUAAAUCCCUUCCUUGAGUACACUCAAUGAGUGAGCAGCAAUAGCCCUCUUAGAAGAAGAAUUAUGUUUUAAAAAUAUAUCUUUCUCUACACCCAAAUCAUUGUUGUACGCAUGUAGGAAGGAACUGCAGAUGUUGGUUUAAACCGAACAUUGAU